GUGCCCCGCCGCGGUAAUACCGGCAGCCCGAGUGAUGGCCGAUGUUAUUGGGCCUAAAGCGUCCGUAGCUGGCCGCGCAAGUCCAUCGGGAAAUCCACCCGCCCAACGGGUGGCCGUCCGGUGGAAACUGCACGGCUUGGGACCGGAAGGCUCGAGGGGUACGUCCGGGGUAGGAGUGAAAUCCCGUAAUCCCGAACGGACCACCGAUGGCGAAAGCACCUCGAGAAGACGGCUCCGACAGUGAGGGACGAAAGCUCGGGUCUCAAACCGGAUUAGAUACCCGCGUAGUCC
This 291-nucleotide ribosomal RNA is filed under the name uncultured bacterium. RNAcentral's name for it is "partial 16S ribosomal RNA". It matches the Rfam family "Archaeal small subunit ribosomal RNA", at positions 455 to 747 of the family's 1478-position model. The record is from RNAcentral.